RNAcentral lists this ribosomal RNA (403 nucleotides) under uncultured bacterium. RNAcentral describes it as "bacterial SSU rRNA". It matches the Rfam family "Bacterial small subunit ribosomal RNA", at positions 355 to 775 of the family's 1533-position model. The record is from RNAcentral.
UAGGGAAUAUUAGAAAUGGACGGAAGUCUGAUCUAGCAACACCGCGUGUGCGAAGAAGGCCUUCGGGUUGUAAAGCACUUUUUGGAAGGAUUAGGAAGGAAUGUACUUCCAGAAUAAGUCUCGGCUAACUACGUGCCAGCAGCCGCGGUAACACGUAGGCAGCAAACGUUAUCCGGAUUUACUGGGCGUAAAGCGCGUGUAGGUGGUUCUGUAAGUAGGGCGUGAAAGCUCCUGGCUCAACUGGGAGAGGCCGUUCUAAACUGCAGAGCUAGAGGAUGGUAGAGGGAGGUGGAAUUCCGGGUGUAGCGGUGGAAUGCGCAGAUAUUCGGAGGAACACCAGUGGCGAAAGCGGCCUCCUGGACCAUUCCUGACACUCAGACGCGAAAGCUAGGGUAGCAAACGG